GAUGGACACAGUCGUGUAUGCCUGUAGUCCCAACUACUCAGGAGGCUGAAGUGGGAGGAUCACUUGAGCCCAGGAGUUCUGGGCUGCAAUGCGCUAUGCUGACUGGGUGUCUGCACUAAGUUUGGCACCAAUAUGGUGACUUCCAGGGAACGGGAACCACCAGGUUGCCUAAGGAGGGGUGAACCAUCCUAGGUCGGAAACAGAGCAGGUCAAAACUGCCGUGCUGAUUCAGUAGUGGGAUCGUGCCUGUGAAUAGCUACUGUACUCCAGGCUAAGCAACAUAGCGAGACCCUGUCUUUA
This is an unclassified non-coding RNA of Callithrix jacchus (white-tufted-ear marmoset), 300 nucleotides long. It matches the Rfam family "Metazoan signal recognition particle RNA". Rfam says of the family: The signal recognition particle (SRP) is a universally conserved ribonucleoprotein. It is involved in the co-translational targeting of proteins to membranes. Lineage: Eukaryota; Metazoa; Chordata; Mammalia; Primates; Cebidae. The record is from Ensembl.